GGCUGAUCUGGGUGCUGUGACAUUCAUAACUAAUUGAUUGCAACCAAUUACAAAUUUCUGUGUUCCUUCUCCACUUCCACUGCUUCACUUGACUAGCAAAA
Unclassified non-coding RNA from Otolemur garnettii (small-eared galago), 101 nucleotides. It matches the Rfam family "Y RNA". Rfam says of the family: Y RNAs are components of the Ro ribonucleoprotein particle (Ro RNP), in association with Ro60 and La proteins. NCBI's taxonomy places the organism in Eukaryota, Metazoa, Chordata, Mammalia, Primates, Galagidae. The record is from Ensembl.